Molecule: ribosomal RNA, 311 nt
Filed under: uncultured Leptolinea sp.
Lineage: Bacteria; Bacillati; Chloroflexota; Anaerolineae; Anaerolineales; Anaerolineaceae
Description: bacterial SSU rRNA
Rfam family: Bacterial small subunit ribosomal RNA
Source: RNAcentral
CGUCAGCUCGUGUCGUGAGAUGUCGUAGUCUGCUAACGAGCGCAACCCUCGCUGUGUGUUAUAUGUGUCACACGGGACUGCCGGUCUUAAGCCGGAGGAAGGUGGGGAUGAUGUCAAGUCAGCAUGGCCUUUAUAUCCUGGGCUACACACACGCUACAAUGGCCAACACAAUAGGUUGCUAAGCCGCGAGGUGGCGCCAAUCCAUAAAGUUGGUCUCAGUUCAGAUUGUAGGCUGCAACCCGCCUGCAUGAAGAUGGAGUUGCUAGUAACCGCAGGUCAGCUAUACUGCGGUGAAUACGUUCCCGGGGCUU